This is a long non-coding RNA of Vigna angularis (adzuki bean), 1086 nucleotides long. RefSeq lists it as uncharacterized. The transcript is spliced from 3 exons. NCBI's taxonomy places the organism in Eukaryota, Viridiplantae, Streptophyta, Magnoliopsida, Fabales, Fabaceae. The record is from RefSeq and is a predicted model, not a curated record.
AUUUUUGCCUAGGGUUGGUGCGAAGGUUAUCGCCCUUAGGUCUUGGUAGAAUCUUUCUCGAUCUCUAAUUCCUCGUUAUUUCGCUGCGUUUCAUUCUCGGAGAAGCUUCAAGGUCCUUUAAAUCAGCUCGCGUCGCGCGUUCAGUCCUCUUCCUUGGAGCCUCUUUCAUCAGGUGGUAUUCAGAGCUCUGAUUCUUCCACACAAUUCAAAAGCUAAGUAUCUCUCUCCUUUGUGUCGUGUUUUCAUUUGAUUCAUUAUUGUGUUGACAUUGUUUCGCAUCUCUGUUUUGAUGUUUUUCUCUGAUUCAUGUAAGGUUGAAUUUGUAUUGGCUUGUUUUGUCUUAAUUCUGAGUAUUAUAUGUUAAUUUUGCUCAUAAACUGUUUGUUUAAAUGUCUAAGAGAGCUAAUAUGAGAUUGUUCAUUCUUGAUAACUUAUUACUCUUCAUAUUAAAAUGCGCUCUCUGUAUCCUCACGCCAAAGGCAUAUUGUUAGGGCUCAAAGAGAAAGGCAUCGACGUUGCAAUCGCUUCUCGCUCAUCAACUACUGACAUAGCAACAAUUUUCCUCAACAAAUUGGGCUUCUCCUCACUCUUUGUCACACAAGUCAAUUCUUGUGCUUAUCUUGCUUUUCCAAUUCAAAUUUAAAGCAACAUGCAUUAGGUUUUUAUUUCUCUUGUGAACUUUGGUUUGUUCAGAAAAUAUAUUCUAGCUAGACACAUAAAACAGAUCAUUUUCAGCGGAUUCAUUCGAGCACAACUGUCCCCUUCAACUCCAUGCUCUUUUUCGAUGAUGAGAAUAGGAACAUCCAAUCGGAUUGUGUUGCUACAAGAUGGUACAGAGCCCCAAAGCUGUAUGGCUCCUUCUUUUCUGAGCUGCAGUUGAAGCACUCUGAAGAUGGUAGAGAAAGUGGAAGAGUUUAACAUGAAGUGAGUGAUAGAGGAAUUUGAGAGGGUGACAAAGGAUGCUAAGAGGUUCAGGACUGCAAAAGGAAUAGAAAAUUAGGAUAAUUUAUUUUUUUUAUAAAACUUUAAAGUUACAUACGGAUUUUUCCGUAUGUGAUUAAUUUUUAAUUACAUAUGACUUUUACA